UAAGUAGGUAGUGAAAGCGUGUGGCUCAACCAUAUACACAUUACCUAAACUGCUCAGCUAGAGGACGAGAGAGGUCGCUGGAAUUCCUAGUGUAGGAGUGAAAUCCGUAGAUAUUAGGAGGAACACCGAUGGCGUAGGCAGGCGACUGGCUCGUUCCUGACACUAAGGCACGAAAGCGUGGGAGCAAACGGGAUUAGAUACCCCGGUAGUCCACGCUGUAAACGAUGGAUGCUA
Molecule: ribosomal RNA, 234 nt
Filed under: uncultured Candidatus Saccharibacteria bacterium
Lineage: Bacteria; Candidatus Saccharimonadota
Description: partial 16S ribosomal RNA
Rfam family: Bacterial small subunit ribosomal RNA
Source: RNAcentral